This 445-nucleotide ribosomal RNA is filed under the name uncultured bacterium. RNAcentral's name for it is "bacterial SSU rRNA". It matches the Rfam family "Bacterial small subunit ribosomal RNA", at positions 338 to 795 of the family's 1533-position model. The record is from RNAcentral.
CCUACGGGAGGCAGCAGUGGGGAAUAUUGGGCAAUGGACGCAAGUCUGACCCAGCGACGCCGCGUGAGGGAUGAAGGCCUUCGGGUUGUAAACCUCUUUCAGUAGGGAAGAAGCGAAAGUGACGGUACCUAAAGAAGAAGCACCGGCUAACUAUGUGCCAGCAGCCGCGGUAAUACAUAGGGUGCAAGCGUUGUCCGGAAUUAUUGGGCGUAAAGAGCUCGUAGGUCGUUUGACACGUCGGAUGUGAAAAUCUGAGGCUUAACCUCAGACCUGCAUUCGAUACGGUCAAACUAGAGUGUGGUAGGGGAGACUGGAAUUCCUGGUGUAGCGGUGGAAUGCGCAGAUAUCAGGAGGAACACCAAUGGCGAAGGCAGGUCUCUGGGCCAUUACUGACACUGAGGAGCGAAAGCGCGGGGAGCGAACAGGAUUAGAUACCCCAGUAGUC